RNAcentral lists this ribosomal RNA (459 nucleotides) under uncultured bacterium. RNAcentral's name for it is "partial 16S ribosomal RNA". It matches the Rfam family "Bacterial small subunit ribosomal RNA", at positions 338 to 795 of the family's 1533-position model. The record is from RNAcentral.
CCUACGGGUGGCUGCAGUGAGGAAUAUUGGUCAAUGGCCGUAAGGCUGAACCAGCCAAGUCGCGUGAAGGAAGAAGGAUCUAUGGUUUGUAAACUUCUUUUAUAGGGGAAUAAAGGUAUCCACGUGUGGAUAUUUGCAUGUACCCUAUGAAUAAGCAUCGGCUAACUCCGUGCCAGCAGCCGCGGUAAUACGGAGGAUGCGAGGGUUAUCCGGAUUUAUUGGGUUUAAAGGGUGCGUAGGUUGUUUUUUAAGUCAGCGGUAAAAUUUCGGGGCUCAACCCCGUCCGGCCGUUGAAACUGGGGGGCUUGAGUGUGCGAGAGGAAGGCGGAAUGCGUGGUGUAGCGGUGAAAUGCAUAGAUAUCACGCAGAACCCCGAUUGCGAAGGCAGCCUGCCGGCGCAUUACUGACGCUGAGGCACGAAAGUGCGGGGAUCGAACAGGAUUAGAUACCCUAGUAGUC